This 31-nucleotide non-coding RNA is filed under the name Rattus norvegicus (Norway rat). Lineage: Eukaryota; Metazoa; Chordata; Mammalia; Rodentia; Muridae. The record is from RNAcentral.
AUUCUGACGAGAGGCAUAGGCCACAGACAGU